Molecule: long non-coding RNA, 1300 nt
Filed under: Struthio camelus australis
Lineage: Eukaryota; Metazoa; Chordata; Aves; Struthioniformes; Struthionidae
Description: lncRNA (ENSSCUG00000002278.1)
Source: RNAcentral
AUGAAAACCGGCCCGACGCAGGGAGGAGACCUGCUCGGUGCGUCUCGAAAGGGUUUAACAGGCAUUUUCUGUACCUUGAGUCACAAGCUGAAGAAAACAACCUCUAGUGAUCUCUCCACCACUAGAACUGUAUUACUGCAAUGCCACCAUUCAUGCAAAGAAUGGCAUUUGCCUUUCCCGAGGACAAAGAGGUUCCAGCGACACAAAUGUGUCCCUGCAGCCUGUUAUAUUCUCUGCCUGGGCUCCUUACUGCGCGUGCAGAAAAUUCACAGUCCAUCCCUAAAUACACUGUGGAUUUAGCAGAAACAGAUAUUCCACAGGAGUUUAAAAUCCUUGCAGGAGCAUCCAGCUGACUUCACUGUAAUACACAUUUAAUGCCUGCGUCAUUAGGAACAAUGUGCAUAACAACAACUCUCUGAAGGAGCCACCUGAUCCAAUUCUCUGCUCUUGAACCAGUUUUUAUGGAUCUGAAGCUUUUGAAAUUAGCAGAACUGCUCCUGAACUGGUGUCAGAAAUAGUGUGCUCUUUGGAAUAACAAGGUGUUUAAAAAUAACUGAGCCUUUAUAUAGAUCUCCCUUGUCACAGAGACCUGCCCCACGCAGGCAGCAGCGCUAAUGGACAAAGAGAGAGAAGACCUCAACCACAGAAGGUCUCGGCAGCGCAGCUGAAUCAGAGAGCCAAGAGACAGCAGUGUUGUCGCUUGAUCUGUUGCAAUGUCUUAGUGUUUCCUUUAUGCCUUGAAUCUUUGUAUCUGACCUGAAGUGCAGACAAACCUAUAGCUGCCUGGGAAUCAUCUCCUGAGAGCUUGAUGUUGUAUUCUGCUCCUUAUCGUCAGGCGAAGGAGCUCUUAAUGCAUGUAAGUCAAUCGCAUCUCCACAAAGUACCUGGCAUAAUGGCAUUUACGCAUGUGUUUAAACUCAGGAAAGAGCUUUAUAUCCUCUUAAAUGAGGACUCUAAAGUUCACCUGUAACGUAAAAUUCUCCCCUAACUUUUUAACUUCUUAUCUGCUUAUUUUUGCUUUUUUGUGACAUUUGGAGAAGGCCUGGAAAGUUAACUUUGCUUAUAUAUAAAAAAUUCUACUUCCAUCUGUAUACCAGAAAUAUCAGGGUUUCCCCCCCCCCCUGCUUUUUGCUGAAGGGCCCAGGGAGAACUGAAGAACCUCUGAGAACUGGCCAAAGAAAGAAGAUGGCAAAGUGAAUAUCUGGCUCGUGCUAACAUCUCGCUCCUGCUCACGGGGUGAGCUCACACCACUGCUGUGGGUACAGUCUCAGCUCCCAACAUCAAAGAACAGCAAGCUGGC